Molecule: transfer RNA, 69 nt
Filed under: Canis lupus familiaris (dog)
Lineage: Eukaryota; Metazoa; Chordata; Mammalia; Carnivora; Canidae
Also listed under: 1 other name
Rfam family: tRNA
About the family: Transfer RNA (tRNA) molecules are approximately 80 nucleotides in length. Their secondary structure includes four short double-helical elements and three loops (D, anti-codon, and T loops).
Source: Rfam by way of RNAcentral
UCCUGGGUGGCUCAGUUGGUUGAGCAUCUGACUUCUACUCAGGUCAUAAUCUCCUACGGGUCCUGGGAU